CUUAACGAGACUAACUUGUUCUGAGAUUCAGAGUAAAGGGAAACUAUACAGCUUAAUGUAGUGGUUCUAGUGUCUACAGCCUGUCCCUGCAUGCUGAGCAAAAUACAAUGUUUACAUUGCUGCUUUGUAACACCUCAUGUGGCAGUUGCUCAGAUGGUCACUAGAAGUGCUUCCUAGUCCAGUAAUGCAUAGUGUGCAGUACUUGCGUGCAUGGUGACACUAAACGUUCCCUAUAGAGAUGAAGUAAUAGUUUUACACUAAAAAAAAAUUGCAUACUUGGACAUAACAUAAAAGCAAAUACAUAUUUUAUACAUAAUCCCCAAUGUGUUCAUGGCAGAUAUUGAGGUGACUUGAGGCACAAAUAUGUGUCAUGGCUGAAAUUCACUGGCUUAGAGGAUCGCUCUACCUCUAUAGUUUUACAUUUUGAAGUAAUGGCACAUGCCUAUCUUAUUACACCCACACAGUGCUCUAGCAUUUGGAGAACCACAUCUGCAGCCAUCUAUUAAUAAGAAACGAUUGGGCACUGAAACUUAAUUGUAGGUAGUCUGGAGAAAGGCAAUGAAAAGCUGAAACCUCAUCUUGUGAUGUGGAAUAAAAGUAGCUUUAAAAAAUAACCUCUGGGUACCUGGCUCAUUCGUUGUAAUACAGAGGAUGGAACUUGCCACAGAGAACAAGAGAAGGUUUAGCUUGAUUUUAGAAAUCUAUUCUACCUUGGUUAAUACUGUAAGAGGAAGUCUGCUCACACAAUAAAC
Non-coding RNA from Pelobates cultripes (western spadefoot toad), 752 nucleotides. NCBI's taxonomy places the organism in Eukaryota, Metazoa, Chordata, Amphibia, Anura, Pelobatidae. The record is from the annotation of a GenBank genome assembly.